Long non-coding RNA from Mauremys reevesii (Reeves's turtle), 342 nucleotides. RefSeq lists it as uncharacterized. The record is from RefSeq and is a predicted model, not a curated record. The transcript has 3 exons. Lineage: Eukaryota; Metazoa; Chordata; Testudines; Geoemydidae.
GCACAGAAAAAUAGUUCGGGGCGGAUGAAGAUCAGAAGGCUUGCCCAUUGAAGCUUGAAGUAUGCAUUCGGGAAUCAAUUGACUGGCUUUUCCAAAGGCUCCAGGUUCAGCCUCCCUGUCCAGCGUCUGUCAUCUGGUAGGAUCCCUUCUCCUGUAAAGAGAACCCCUCCCACCCUAAAUAAUGAGGAGUCAAUCAGUAAAGAUCAAAGCUACGGUAGGUGCUUGGGAUCUCAAUCCUCUGGCUAAUGACAAGCCUUUGGAGAGGGGCUCCAAGGAGUCCCUUGAUGUUCCUCCGGGAUCACGGGAAGCAGAACAGAUGGUACGCUCAGGAGAACAGCGAUG